UGGGGAAUUUUGGACAACGGGCGCAAGCCUGAUCCAGCCAUGCCGCGUGCGGGAAGAAGGCCUUCGGGUUGUAAACCGCUUUUGUCAGGGAAGAAAUCCUUUGAGCUAAUACCUCGGGGGGAUGACGGUACCUGAAGAAUAAGCACCGGCUAACUACGUGCCAGCAGCCGCGGUAAUACGUAGGGUGCGAGCGUUAAUCGGAAUUACUGGGCGUAAAGCGUGCGCAGGCGGUUGUGUAAGACAGGUGUGAAAUCCCCGGGCUUAACCUGGGAACUGCGCUUGUGACUGCACGGCUAGAGUAUGGCAGAGGGGGGUGGAAUUCCACGUGUAGCAGUGAAAUGCGUAGAGAUGCGGAGGAACACCGAUGGCGAAGGCAAUCCCCUGGACCUGUACUGACGCUCAUGCACGAAAGCGUGGGGAGCAAACA
Molecule: ribosomal RNA, 427 nt
Filed under: uncultured bacterium
Lineage: Bacteria
Description: bacterial SSU rRNA
Rfam family: Bacterial small subunit ribosomal RNA
Source: RNAcentral